RNAcentral lists this long non-coding RNA (833 nucleotides) under Homo sapiens (human). RNAcentral's name for it is "HSALNT0237083". Lineage: Eukaryota; Metazoa; Chordata; Mammalia; Primates; Hominidae. The record is from RNAcentral.
CUUUCUCUCUUCGCCUGCUGCCGUCCAUGUAAGAUGGGACUUGCUCCUCCUUGCCUUCCACCAUGAUUGUGAGGCUUCCUCAGCCACGUGGAACUAUGCCCUGACCUUCCGGGAAACCCUCGGUGAGAGGCCCACAGCCUCGCUUCUAGGGUCACCACUGCUUCUUCCAGUCUAGCCAAACAGCUCCUAGUACAGCUCAGAGCACCCUGCAAGGAGGGCACGUGUUAAAUCGAGGAGCACACAUGCUCCACGAGGAAUUCUUUGCUUUGAGGCCAUGCACAGAGGUGGGUUCACUAUGAAGCUUGUGAAAUAAGCUUCAGGGCCCGCAUUUGCAUGGGCCACAGAGAGUCUGGGAGCUGCAGAAGGUUCAAGGGAAGAGGAGCCAUCACAAGCAGAAUAUUCUAGAAGGCAUUUCUGGCAAAUGGCCCAAAGAGGCCUCAGGAGAAAAGAACUUGAGUCUUCAAGGAUGCAAUGAGAAGGCACCAUCUGUGAGGAACAGGCCUCCGACAGACACCGAAUUUGCUGGCACUUUGAUCUUGGACUUCCCAGCCUCCAAAAUUAUCCAUAAUGGAUUCCUGGGACAUUUUCAGAUCUCCUUCCAGCUUCCUCUUCGCCCUUUCCAAGUCCGCCCGCAGUUUCUUCUCCUGCUCUAAGGAACCCUCAAGCUGAGAAGACACACAGAAGACCCAGAAGUCCAGCUUUGAAGAAAACCUGGAGAAAGAGAGAGUCACAAAUCAUCUCCAUACUGCAGGAGAUGCAGAAAUGGCAGAAGGAUCUCCCUUAAACAUUGGAAGAAAAGAACAGAUGGGAUUAAAAGAAGAAUUAAAGAGAUG